RNAcentral lists this transfer-messenger RNA (352 nucleotides) under Candidatus Izimoplasma sp. ZiA1. Its description in RNAcentral is "Candidatus Izimaplasma bacterium ZiA1 transfer-messenger RNA". It matches the Rfam family "transfer-messenger RNA". Rfam says of the family: Bacterial tmRNA, also known as 10Sa RNA or SsrA, is named for its dual tRNA and mRNA-like properties. Its role is to liberate the mRNA from a stalled ribosome. The record is from Rfam by way of RNAcentral. RNAcentral also lists the same sequence under 1 other name. Lineage: Bacteria; Bacillati; Mycoplasmatota; Mollicutes; Candidatus Izemoplasmatales; Candidatus Izemoplasmataceae.
GGGGUUGUUCAUGGAUUCGACAGGGUUGUUAGAGCUUUAUAAGCAUGUCUGGGUGGUGCCUGUAAAAACACCAGGUUAAAUAUAACCGGAAACCAAAAUUACGCAUUCGCAGCUUAAUAUAAUAGCGCGAUCUCCAUCUUUAUAGGUCUACAUAUUUAGAUGUCGAGAACAGUUUAGUAGAAUAUACUUAUGAUUGUGCCGUCUUAACAAUUAUAAAAGAAUCUAAUAAGACUCGUUAGUAACUUGGCCGUUCAUCACUUGGUUGCUAAUCAAAUUAAUUGAUGAACUAAGCAUGUAGAAAGUGAAGUUUCGGCUUCUUUGGACAGGGGUUCAAAUCCCCUCAACUCCACCA